AUUGAACGCUGGCGGCAGGCCUAACACAUGCAAGUCGAACGGCAGCACAGAAGAGCUUGCUCUUUGGGUGGCGAGUGGCGGACGGGUGAGUAAUGUCUGGGAAACUGCCCGAUGGAGGGGGAUAACUACUGGAAACGGUAGCUAAUACCGCAUAACGUCGCGAGACCAAAGUGGGGGACCUUCGGGCCUCACACCAUCGGAUGUGCCCAGAUGGGAUUAGCUAGUAGGUGGGGUAAUGGCUCACCUAGGCGACGAUCCCUAGCUGGUCUGAGGGGAUGAACAGCCAGACUGGAACUGAGACACGGUCCAGACUCCUACGGGAGGCAGCAGUGGGGAAUAUUGCACAAUGGGCGCAAGCCUGAUGCAGCCAUGCCGCGUGUAUGAAGAAGGCCUUCGGGUUGUAAAGUACUUUCAGCGGGGAGGAAGGCGGUGAGGUUAAUAACCUUGCCGAUUGACGUUACCCGCAGAAGAAGCACCGACUAACUCCGUGCCAGCCGCCGCCGUAA
Molecule: ribosomal RNA, 506 nt
Filed under: uncultured bacterium
Lineage: Bacteria
Description: partial 16S ribosomal RNA
Rfam family: Bacterial small subunit ribosomal RNA
Source: RNAcentral